Non-coding RNA from Nicotiana tabacum (common tobacco), 136 nucleotides. NCBI's taxonomy places the organism in Eukaryota, Viridiplantae, Streptophyta, Magnoliopsida, Solanales, Solanaceae. The record is from RefSeq and is a predicted model, not a curated record.
GGAGAUUGAAGAGGGAUUCAAGGAGAAACGUUUGGAGAUUCAACGUGCGAGGAGGCCAAUUUGAAAGGCAAGGGCAUAGCGAGCUAGAGCUUUGGCCAGUUUAAGGUACAGGUGUCCAUGAGGUGUAGAGCGAGCU